This 623-nucleotide long non-coding RNA is filed under the name Oryctolagus cuniculus (rabbit). Its description in RNAcentral is "lncRNA (ENSOCUG00000035789.1)". The record is from RNAcentral. Lineage: Eukaryota; Metazoa; Chordata; Mammalia; Lagomorpha; Leporidae.
UCCUUCUGUCUUUCCCUCUCACUGUCUGUAACUCUACCUCUCAAAUAAAUAAAAUCUUUAAAAAUAAAAGAAGUAUAAUUUGCUAAAUGGACCAGUUGGUUCACAGGCUCAAUUGAUAUCCCCAGACUAAGGUAUUCUGUUUUCAAAAGUGAAAUUAGUUUUGAUGAGUAUUUAACAUUUGGAAACUCCAACCAGAACUUGAAAUAACCUUUUUUUUUUCUUUUAAAGACCUUUCGUUUGCUGUCUAAAAUAAACCACUCAUUUGCAGAAAGGAAGAAGCACUUAACGCCAGGCCCAUGCACCAGUCCCACCACUCAUGACCCAGAGCAACAGGAGGAGAAUGCUUCCUUCCCGGACUUGGCUGUUCUUCCUUCUUCUGGGGUCCUUUUAGAAAACAACAGGAAGGAAAGGAGAAAAAAAGUAUCCGACAGUGGGGAAGCCUGAAGCUGCAACACAAAUAAUGAUUAUUCCUGUCAAGGUUUAGCCGUGGUUGCUAAGUUACUGGCCUGUUCUGAAAAACCUUGAAGUAUGGGACACAUUAGGAGCUCGUUAGGUCCCGGUGACUUGCGGUAAAUGUACAAUUUGUCUCUGUGCUAAACACACUUCAAAAAUAACAAUAAAAU